Molecule: ribosomal RNA, 937 nt
Filed under: uncultured Rhodocyclales bacterium
Lineage: Bacteria; Pseudomonadati; Pseudomonadota; Betaproteobacteria; Rhodocyclales
Description: bacterial SSU rRNA
Rfam family: Bacterial small subunit ribosomal RNA
Source: RNAcentral
CUGGUGGCGAGUGGCGAACGGGUGAGUAAUAUAUCGGAACAUGUCCGGAAGUGGGGGAUAACGUAGCGAAAGUUACGCUAAUACCGCAUAUGCCCUGAGGGGGAAAGGGGGGGGAUCGCAAGACCUCUCGCUUUCGGAGUGGCCGAUAUCGGAUUAGCUAGUAGGUGAGGUAAAGGCUCACCUAGGCGACGAUCCGUAGCUGGUCUGAGAGGACGACCAGCCACACUGGGACUGAGGCACGGCCCAGACUCCUACGGGAGGCAGCAGUGGGGAAUUUUGGACAAUGGGGGAAACCCUGAUCCAGCCAUGCCGCGUGAGUGAAGAAGGCCUUCGGGUUGUAAAGCUCUUUCGGACAGAAAGAAAUCGCAUCUACUAAUACUAGGUGUGGAUGACGGUACUGUAAGAAGAAGCACCGGCUAACUACGCGCCAGCAGCCGCGGUAAUACGUAGGGUGCGAGCGGUAAUCGGAAUUACUGGGCGUAAAGCGUGCGCAGGCGGUUUCGUAAGACAGAUGUGAAAUCCCCGGGCUUAACCUGGGAACUGCAUUUGUGACUGCGAGACUAGAGUGUGGCAGAGGGGGGUAGAAUUCCACGUGUAGCAGUGAAAUGCGUAGAGAUGUGGAGGAAUACCGAUGGCGAAGGCAGCCCCCUGGGCCAACACUGACGCUCAUGCACGAAAGCGUGGGGAGCAAACAGGAUUAGAUACCCUGGUAGUCCACGCCCUAAACGAUGUCAACUAGUUGUUGGGGAAGGAGACUUCCUUAGUAACGCAGCUAACGCGUGAAGUUGACCGCCUGGGGAGUACGGUCGCAAGAUUAAAACUCAAAGGAAUUGACGGGGACCCGCACAAGCGGUGGAUUAUGUGGAUUAAUUCGAUGCAACGCGAAAAACCUUACCUACCCUUGACAUGCCAGGAACUUUCCAGAGAUGGAUUGGUG